UACGGAGGGAGCUAGCGUUAUUCGGAAUUACUGGGCGUAAAGCGCACGUAGGCGGCUUUGUAAGUUAGAGGUGAAAGCCUGGAGCUCAACUCCAGAAUUGCCUUUAAGACUGCAUCGCUUGAAUCCAGGAGAGGUGAGUGGAAUUCCGAGUGUAGAGGUGAAAUUCGUAGAUAUUCGGAAGAACACCAGUGGCGAAGGCGGCUCACUGGACUGGUAUUGACGCUGAGGUGACGAAGCGGUGGGAGCAAACAGG
This 253-nucleotide ribosomal RNA is filed under the name uncultured bacterium. RNAcentral's name for it is "partial 16S ribosomal RNA". It matches the Rfam family "Bacterial small subunit ribosomal RNA", at positions 524 to 776 of the family's 1533-position model. The record is from RNAcentral.